CAGAGCACUCAGGCUCCGCCUCUGACGACAGUCACUAUCGUGCAGCAAGCCCCGCUGGGUCAGCACCAGCUACCUGUGAAGGCUAUCACCCAGAACGGGACACACCUGGUUCCCAUCAGCACUGCUGCGUGCACAGGGAACCCUCUUCAUCUGCUGGCGGCUCACGCGUCGGCCUCGGCGUCCCUCCCCACCAAGAGGCAGAACGGAGAACUCCAGGAGCAGCCCGACUCCAAGAGGGCCAAAGGGGAGGAGGAGAAGGGCAGCGAGGAAGCAGCUUCCACCAACAACGGCAGCACAGACACAGCCGGAGAAGACGGCAGCAACUAGCCUUCCAUCCCGACGACCUUCAACCCCCCCUCGAAGUCCUGCUUUUCAUCCACCGUCUUCUCCAAGGUGCCAAAAAGACUUCAGAAUGUGCAGCCCCCCUCCCAAACUCUUCCAUUGCUCCACCGGGACCCCACAUGCACAGACUCGAUCAAGGAGGGAACUGACGCGUCCCUGGUGACUUGGGGGGGCCAGCAUCAAUGUAGUCACCUCUCUGGAGCAUGACAGACUCGGACCGGACAGCCGCUGCUUCCGUUUCCCGCGUGGACAUUCCCGUUCUUGGCAGCUAGCCUCCACGUCGCCGGAAACACAGCGUUCUGUGGGAUCUGGGAAACAUCUCAACGCAGGAUCUGGGGAAUCUCUGUUGUUUUGUGUGACAUGAAUGUAGUCUUUCUGUUCCUCAAAGAAAACACUACAGAGUGAAUGCUCUUUCCGUUCUUUUCUGUUCAUAUUUGACAAAUAUCCUAUGAAAUAAGACGUAUAUUCUCCUGUGUAUGUGAGCGUACUCAUGCAUGUUACGGGUGUUGACGCAGAUUAUCUGAACACAACAGUUAGACUGAAUCCAGGCUUUAUGAUUCGGACAGUGCUGCACUUAAACUCUUAUUUUUUAUUUUUUUGCUUUGUGUCAAACUUUUUCAAUUCUUUUCAAAUUACAGGAGGAGAAAUAAGUGUUUAUUCUGCUUCAGUGUAAAAAAAAAAAAGCUUUCAUUUCUUUUUUUUUUUUUUAUAUAAAUUUAUUUAAAACUGAACUGCUCAGUUUGUAUUUCUUUGAGUAAACUCCUGCUAAAAAACCUAAAUUGGUUCAACUUUUGAGGUGGAAUAAUGGAUCUUUUUUUUUUUUUUUUUUUUUUGUUCGGG
Molecule: long non-coding RNA, 1182 nt
Filed under: Oryzias javanicus (javanese ricefish)
Lineage: Eukaryota; Metazoa; Chordata; Actinopteri; Beloniformes; Adrianichthyidae
Description: lncRNA (ENSOJAG00000021782.1)
Source: RNAcentral